This 3625-nucleotide long non-coding RNA is filed under the name Homo sapiens (human). RNAcentral describes it as "HSALNT0052437". The record is from RNAcentral. Lineage: Eukaryota; Metazoa; Chordata; Mammalia; Primates; Hominidae.
AAUCUGUGGGGAGUGCUAACCAGACAGUCCUGGGAGUCCUGCGGUAAUAGGAUUAGUUGCGAAGGUCUGCUGGGCAUUAAAAACAACUGUGGUCACUUUAGCAUGUGCUCCAGAAUAGCCUGCCAAAACAAACUGGUUAAUUUUUCUCUUUAAGGGGUUUGCUUUCUGAUCAUCUUUCAGAAUGGCAAAUACUAAACACCAUCAGGUAAUGCUGGACUAACCACUCACUGAAGAGUAUCUACUGUUUAGUCUUUACCUUUUUACCUUCCUGUCACACACAACAGGCAGGAAACAGGGUGUCAAAGAUGAGGAGGUUUGUUCGGCAACACAUUUCUUUUUUAACCUCAGGAGUUAUAAGAUCAUACAUCUCUGCUCCGAAAGCACUGACUUGGACAGCUGGAAUUGUGGUGACAAGAAACGUAUGUUAAUACUUUUUCAUUUAACCAGAACAAGGUAAUCUGAGCCAACCAAAAAGCAUUUCUCUCUUCCCCGCUCACAACACUGAGGAAUGUCAGAGGCCCUCAGGGAGUGAGGAUGCUUUAUGCGGAGUGGCCUGGGAAGGCCGGAAACCACUUAUUGGCUUUACCACUCUAAACCUCUGAAACAGUCAUGUCUCUUCUCAGACCUUUAUAUUUAGACUCCAGACAUCCUUGAGUCACACUUGCUAUAUUAAUACAGUUAAGGCAUCAAAUUAUCAUUAUCGGUAGCAAAACUUCUCUCCCUGUUUUACGACACAGGUAGUUUCAAUAAAAAGUUUUAUACCAGAAAAGAGGAGCUGUGGGCCUCUAUUUCACUUCACUACUCUUUUUCAAAUCAUGUCAGAUGUUAUUUCCUAUGUCUGGAGUCUUUCUGGAUUCUUCUUCUUCUUCUUCUUCUUCUUCUUCUUAUUAUUAUUAUUAUUAUUGGUGUAUAUGUUUACUUCUUAAGCAAGGUUAGAAUUCCAUCUUCAUGUUCAGAUUCUCUUCCACUAUAAUUGUUUUAUUUGUUUGUUUGUUUGUUUUUUCCUGAGACAGAGUCUCACUCUGAUGCCCAGGCUGGAGUAUAGUGGUGCGAUCACGGCUCACAGCAGCCUCAACCUCCCGGGUUCAAGAGAUCUUCCCACCUCAGCCUCCCUAUUAGUUGAGACUAUGGGCACAUCUCACCAUGCCUGGCUAAUUUUUGUAUUUUUUGUAGAUAUGCUGUUUCACCAUGUUGCCCCAGCUGGUCUUGAACUCCUGGGCUAAAACAAUCUACCUGGCUUGGCCUCCCAAAGUGCUGGGAUUACAGGCAUGAGCCACUGUGCCCAGCUCUCUUCCAUUAUAAUUUCACCAUUACCAACCACCUCAGGUAAUGGUUUAUUUCAAAAUUUGGCUCACAAUUUCCAGAGGUGUUGAAGAAUGAUUGCAGGAAAGUGACUAUCAUACUAUGGAACCCAAUCUACUACUUGUCAAUGCCAGUGGAGAGCAGGGGGUCAUAUGACCUCUCCCCUUUCUGGAUCUUUCUCUCAUACUCACUUCCUCACAGGUGCAAGAGUUUCAGAAGCUGCUUCUACCCUGAGUAACAGUGCUGAGAACUCACUGGAUUGCCCAUGAUCAGUGGGUUCUGGAAGCAAAUGGACAGAAGGAAUUCAAGAUUAACACAGAAAGAGACCAUGACAUCACCACCACAUGCAUGUGGCCUCCAGACAGUAACUGUAAUAUGAGAAACAUCAUACAAUAAUUCAGAAAGUAAUUUCAAGCACCUGCUUUGUGGUAUUAAAAACCCAGAGAAAGUUAUGUGUGCCCAGUUUUAGAAUUUUUCCUGCUCGUUUUAAAAAUUUAUAUUUAGGUUUAAUAAUAUAUAAGCAUAAAAUAGGGAUAACAUAAAUGAGCACUUACUAUAUUCCAGGCGCCACUCUAAUGGUUUCAAGGCGUUUUUUCUUUUUUGUUUUUUUUUUUCUCUCUCACUGAAACAUCACAAUAAUGCUAUUAGGCAGGUUCUAUUAUCAUUCCCAUUUUAUAGACAAGUAAACUUGAAGACAAAUCUUUUUGUCCUUUUUCCAUUUUAUGCAAUGCUAAUUUUAGGCAGAGUACAUAUUUCAAUUAGUAGUUUCCCUUUUCCCAUCACACAAGAAAGAUGUGCUUUGUCUCCCCGAGACAUUUAUUAUUAGAGGAAUAACAGUAAAAUUGAGAGAGAGGAACAAAAAAACCAAUACAUAAAAACAGUGCAAUUUAAAAAAUCAAGUUGAAUUAUUUGGUUGCUUAUUGGCUCAAAGAGACAUUGGGACUUUGCCUCCCAACAAAACCAUUAUUUUUUUUUUCAAUAGUUUCCAACCUAAAUUUCUGAAAUAUUUCUGUUUUAUUAUUUACUAGGUAACAUCCUGUUUAUCAGAAGGGGAAACUAAUGACACUUUAGCUUAUCUCAUUAUAAAACAAAUAGAACCCGGAAUUAUUAAAGUUCUUUUUUAAAUAAAAUAAAAUCAAUGCUUUGGUAAACUUUUUUCUUUUUUUUUGAGACAGAGUCUUGCUCUGUCACCCAGGCUGGAGUGCAGUGGCGUGAUCUCACUCACUGCAGCCUCCACGACCCGGGUUCAAACAAUUCUCCUGCCUCAGCCUCCUGAGUAGCUGGGACUACAGGUGCACGUCCCCACAUCCAGAUCAUUUCUUUUGUAGUUUAGUAGAGACAGGGUUUCUUACUUAACUGUUUCACACCUUUGAACUUGCAUUCUAACGGCAAUCAUUGGAAGCUUAUGUGCACUUCUACGGUGUCUUCCUCUUCCCCCUACUUACCAGGUGCCUUUUGGCUAUGCUUGUUGUUCUGUGAUCUAGAAGUUAUCUUUGAAUCUCUCCCAUCAAACAGAAUGUUGAUACAUGCUUGUUACUUAAAAAUGUUCAAAUGAUUAAUAAAUGAAGAAAUAAAUGAAUAGAGGAAUCUUUUAAAGGUGACGAGGAUAUGGAAAAAUAAUUUAAAAAAAACUUCUUGUAAAUGAAACUGAUUGAAACAUCGCCUAGUUCUUUAAGCUCUGGGUUAGUCAGGUUUGCUGGUUUUAAUUCCUCUCUCCUCCAGAGUAUCAUAUCUAUCUUUACUCUGGACCUUUCUUGAGAAACUUAGAUCAAAUGUAAAGGCUUCCUUGGAACCAAUAAAACAAAAUUACUUAUGUUACAUGUGCCAUGUCAUACCUUCCUUUAAAAUAACACCCAUACAAACACAGACACAUACAUGUUCUCAUAUACACUCAUACAUAUUCACACAUAUGCUUAUAUAAACAACAAACACUAUCACUAUCAUGUUUUAAUAUGGUUAUUGGUGCAUGGUGUCCCUUAGUUCCUUGCAAGCACUUCCUACAUGUUUUCUCACUCAGUAAAGCAUGUGUGUGUCUGUGUGUUUCCAACAUAAUUUUACAGCUAGAUAUUUAAAUCCCAUUCUGGUUCAUAAACUUGUCUGGACCAUCAAGUACAUGUUUUUGCUUUUUCAACACUAGGAAUUUCCCAGGCUCACUGGCAAAACCAAUCAAAUGUCUGUUUCUGUUUCAAAGAUGAACUAUUCAAACUUAUUGGCUUGUACCUGCCUUCUCCCUGCCUCUCCUCUAUCCCUGUGUUACCAAUCUUAAAACAUUAAGUAUGUUGAAAUGAUUCUUAGGUUGGGUGGCAGAAACCACAGGUAUGAG